RNAcentral lists this transfer RNA (76 nucleotides) under Acetobacter pasteurianus. RNAcentral describes it as "tRNA-Asn". It matches the Rfam family "tRNA". From Rfam's summary of the family: Transfer RNA (tRNA) molecules are approximately 80 nucleotides in length. Lineage: Bacteria; Pseudomonadati; Pseudomonadota; Alphaproteobacteria; Acetobacterales; Acetobacteraceae. The record is from RNAcentral.
UGGGUUAUAGCUCAGUUGGUAGAGCAGACGACUGUUAAUCGUCCGGUCGCAGGUUCGAGCCCUGCUAACCCAGCCA